UAGGAUGGCUAAAAUGUAUUAUGGAUAUUCCACUGCCAGAUAGUCUGCUGAGCAUGUCACAUGCAUUAAUCCAUUUAAAGCCAUGUGUGUUAUAAUUUUUCCUUUCGAGGUGAAGAGAUUAAUAUCUAGUGAGGAGAUGGUGGUGUGACAGUGGCCACACAGCCACCGAAUGGGUGAGCUGGAACUCAAACCUAGAAUAAUGAGGUGGGCAAAAGCGUUUUUAUUUGUUUUUUGUUUGUUUGUUUGUUUGUUUGUUUGAGACGGAGUUUCGCUCUUGUCACCCAGGCUGGAGUGCAAUGGCGUGAUCUCGGCUCACCGCAACCUCCGCCCUCUGGGUUCAGGCAAUUCUCCUGCCUCAGCCUCCUGAGUAGCUGGGAUAACAGGCACGCGCCACCACGCCCAGCUAAUUUUUUGUAUUUUUAGUAGAGAGGGGGUUUCACCAUGUUGACCGGGAUGGUCUCGAUCUCUCGACCUCGUGAUCCACCCGUCUCGGCCUCCCAAAGUGCUGGGAUUACAGGCUUGAGCCACCGGGCCCGGCCAAAAGCGUUUUUAUUUUAAGAGCCGGCACUGCAAUUCUUCCCAGGGAGAGAAUGGUAGUAAGGGCGUUUUGCUAAAUGCUUGAUGCAGUAGGCUUGCAUCACAUCAGAAAAAUGUUUGGGCUUCUUGAUAACAUAGGGCAGGUUGGGUAGUUGAUGGUGCGUAAGGGAGAAGAGACAUUGAAUGAGCAACCAAGAAUCACUGCUCAGUGAGUGAAGGGCAUCCUCACACUAAAGCACUGUAGCCUAUUACACUUAAAACUCUGGUGUUUGCAUUUGUCGUGGGCAUCAAACAGCAAAUUUUAUGUUGGCAUAGAAAUGGCAGGACUAGAGAACAGUGCUUAGGAAGGUUAUGGGGAUGCAGCAAAAGGGAUUACCCUAAAGCCAUGAUAAUGUGAAAUGAGUUAUACCGUGACUUUAAUUGGACAAGCAAAGAAAAUGAAUCACAAGUACAUUUUCCCAAUACCACAAACCAGUCAGUGUUUCAGCCAGGAUUUUAACCCAUGCUGUUUGGGUCCAGUGUCUACAUGGCAGGCAGCUAUAAAAUCCAAAACGAUAGCUAAGAAGAAUUGAGUGCUUAUUCAGAACUAAAUAGUAUGUCACAUGUCAGGUUCCCGAGGUGGCUCUGAGUCAGAUAUUGUGGUUUGGGAGUUUUCUGGGGUGUGCUUUCAGGAUCUAUAUUUUUCUUGGAUGGAGGAAAACAGAAUUCGAUAGAAGGAGAAAUCAGAGUGUAGUGUAUUCAUAACCUAUGUCUGAGCUGGGCUAGAAUGGUACCAUUGCAUUGUCCCCUAGGGGAGUAAGGGACUAGGUUUUUUACACAGAUCAGGUGUUUCAUGUGGGUUACUCAAGGAAGGACACAUGAACUUGGGUGAGGUGACACAUUUUCAUAUAGGAAACUCACCAGGGGGAGAAAGGCUCUCAACUCCAGCUGUGAGUCCCAGUACUUAAACUGGCAAGGGAAGUAUGGGAGCCUCAGUGCUGGGGGAUGUGGUGGGCAUCUCAUAGCAUCCAUCUUAGUCCUCCCCUUGCUGUACUUAAAUGCAGUUGCUUCAUGUAAGUUUGGGGCUCAGAGUCUUCCAAAUUCUGGUGGCUUCUUUUCCUGAGGAAACAUAAGAAGAGGUUCAUAGGACAUACUGCAGUCCCCACCAUGAUUGCUGGUCAUGAGGCUAUAACACUACUUACUCAUCAUGCCCUUUUCCUACUGGCCAUUCUUGAUCUCCCUCAUCUUAAGCUGGC
This is a long non-coding RNA of Callithrix jacchus (white-tufted-ear marmoset), 1772 nucleotides long. The record is from Ensembl. NCBI's taxonomy places the organism in Eukaryota, Metazoa, Chordata, Mammalia, Primates, Cebidae.